Echinops telfairi (small Madagascar hedgehog) is the source of this 454-nucleotide long non-coding RNA. RefSeq lists it as uncharacterized. Lineage: Eukaryota; Metazoa; Chordata; Mammalia; Afrosoricida; Tenrecidae. The transcript is spliced from 2 exons. The record is from RefSeq and is a predicted model, not a curated record.
AGGGGACUUCAAAAAAUUCAGAGAAAAAUAAAAUUAAACAAGAAUGGAGUUUUUCCUGCAAACUUUUAAAAGCGCUUUUGUCUUCUAGACAUUGGACUGUCAUCCGGAAGGUCAGCAGUUGGGAGCCGCUCUCUAACUGAAGGAACAGCUGACUUCCCCAGACCUUGGCCGCCCCAGCAUGGGCUCGGCUUUGCUCCAGCAAUGUCACAGAGCUCCUUUAGUGCCUGUCAAUGUACAAGGGCACUUCACCCUGCAAGCCAGCCUACUCCUCUGGGGUGAGCCGGGAAGUCCGCUUCCCUGUAUCAUGGUCUGGGUGCUGCUGCCUCCAGUACCUCGGCUGUCACCCACGCCUCCAGAAAGCAAGCUCACACCCAUGGCUUUUUCUUCUUGGUCCAAAGACUUUCUGGUUUGAUUAAAACCCAGUGGAAUGGCAAGACUGGCCAAUCCCCUGUCA